GCCAAGGUCGUCGUAGCCCUUGUGGCCAAAAAGGCCAAUAUUGAUAGCUUAGUGGUGGCCAGGGAGGACCUGCUGGUCCAGGUGGACUAGGUAGCCAAGGUAGUUGUAGCCCUUUUGGCCAAAAAGGCCAAUAUGGAUAUCUUCGUGGUGGCCUGGGAGGACCUGGUGGUCCUGGUGGACUAGGGGGCCAAGGUGCUGGUAGCCCUUGUGGCCAAAAAGGCCAAUAUGGAUAUUGUAGUUGUGGCCCGGGAGGACCUGGUGGACCUGGUGGUCCUGGUGGACUAGGUGGUCCUGGUGGUCCAGGUGGUCCAGAUGGUCCUGCUGGUCCAGGUGGUCCUGCUGGUCCAGGUGGUCCUGUUGAUCCUGGUGGCCCAUCUUUUCCAGGUGGUCCUGGUGGACCAUUAGAUCCUGGCUCACCGUCUGGUCCAGGUGGACCUGGUGGACCUUCUGACCCUGGUGGACCCUGUGGCCCUGGUGGUCCUUGUGGACCCUCUGGCCCUGGUGGCCCUGGUGGCCCAAUAAUUGGUGGAAAAGAUGGUGGUCCUGAAGGUGGUCCUGAAGGUGGACCAGGUGGUCCUGAAGGUGGUCCUGAAGGUGGUCCUGAAGGUGGACCUUGUGGUGACCUAGAUGGGAAUGAUGUUAUUCAGAUUUAACACUGUCGUCUGGAAAAACAUCUGUAUUGGCUGGCAUACCUCUUUAUCUUAGCAGAAAGACA
Hippocampus zosterae (dwarf seahorse) is the source of this 715-nucleotide long non-coding RNA. RefSeq lists it as uncharacterized. The transcript has 6 exons. The record is from RefSeq and is a predicted model, not a curated record. NCBI's taxonomy places the organism in Eukaryota, Metazoa, Chordata, Actinopteri, Syngnathiformes, Syngnathidae.